GAUGAACGCUGGCGGCGUGCUUAACACAUGCAAGUCGAACGAGAAGUGGAGACGGAAACCUUCGGGCGGAAGACUUUAUUUCGAGUGGCGGACGGGUGAGUAACGCGUGGGUAACCUGCCUCAUACAGGGGGAUAACAGUUGGAAACGACUGUUAAUACCGCAUAAGACCACAGCACCGCAUGGUGCGGGGGUAAAAACUCCGGUGGUAUGGGAUGGACCCGCGUUCGAUUAGCCAGUUGGCGGGGUAACGGCCCACCAAAGCGACGAUCGAUAGCCGAUCUGAGAGGAUGACCGGCCACAUUGGGACUGAGACACGGCCCAAACUCCUACGGGAGGCAGCAGUGGGGAAUAUUGCACAAUGGGGGAAACCCUGAUGCAGCGACGCCGCGUGAGUGAAGAAGUAUUUCGGUAUGUAAAGCUCUAUCAGCAGGGAAGAAAAUGACGGUACCUGAGUAAGAAGCCCCGGCUAACUACGUG
This 478-nucleotide ribosomal RNA is filed under the name uncultured bacterium. RNAcentral's name for it is "partial 16S ribosomal RNA". It matches the Rfam family "Bacterial small subunit ribosomal RNA", at positions 28 to 507 of the family's 1533-position model. The record is from RNAcentral.